Molecule: ribosomal RNA, 492 nt
Filed under: Pseudomonas sp. CL2.58
Lineage: Bacteria; Pseudomonadati; Pseudomonadota; Gammaproteobacteria; Pseudomonadales; Pseudomonadaceae
Description: bacterial SSU rRNA
Rfam family: Bacterial small subunit ribosomal RNA
Source: RNAcentral
UUGAUUCAUGGCUCAGAUUGAACGCUGGCGGCAGGCCUAACACAUGCAAGUCGAGCGGCAGCACGGGUACUUGUACCUGGUGGCGAGCGGCGGACGGGUGAGUAAUGCCUAGGAAUCUGCCUGGUAGUGGGGGAUAACGCUCGGAAACGGACGCUAAUACCGCAUACGUCCUACGGGAGAAAGCAGGGGACCUUCGGGCCUUGCGCUAUCAGAUGAGCCUAGGUCGGAUUAGCUAGUUGGUGAGGUAAUGGCUCACCAAGGCGACGAUCCGUAACUGGUCUGAGAGGAUGAUCAGUCACACUGGAACUGAGACACGGUCCAGACUCCUACGGGAGGCAGCAGUGGGGAAUAUUGGACAAUGGGCGAAAGCCUGAUCCAGCCAUGCCGCGUGUGUGAAGAAGGUCUUCGGAUUGUAAAGCACUUUAAGUUGGGAGGAAGGGCAGUUACCUAAUACGUAUCUGUUUUGACGUUACCGACAGAAUAAGCACCGGC